RNAcentral lists this ribosomal RNA (423 nucleotides) under uncultured Lachnospiraceae bacterium. RNAcentral describes it as "bacterial SSU rRNA". It matches the Rfam family "Bacterial small subunit ribosomal RNA", at positions 355 to 794 of the family's 1533-position model. Lineage: Bacteria; Bacillati; Bacillota; Clostridia; Lachnospirales; Lachnospiraceae. The record is from RNAcentral.
UGGGGAAUAUUGGACAAUGGGGGGAAACCCUGAUCCAGCGACGCCGCGUGAGUGAAGAAAUAUUUCGGUAUGUAAAGCUCUAUCAGCAGGGAAGAAAAUGACGGUACCUAACUAAGAAGCCCCGGCUAACUACGUGCCAGCAGCCGCGGUAAUACGUAGGGGGCAAGCGUUAUCCGGAUUUACUGGGUGUAAAGGGAGCGCAGGCGGCAGGGCAAGUCUGAUGUGAAAACCCGGGGCUCAACCCCGGGAUUGCAUUGGAAACUGUCCAGCUCGAGUGUCGGAGAGGUAAGCGGAAUUCCUAGUGUAGCGGUGAAAUGCGUAGAUAUUAGGAGGAACACCAGUGGCGAAGGCGGCUUACUGGACGAUGACUGACGCUGAGGCUCGAAAGCGUGGGGAGCAAACAGGAUUAGAUACCCUGGUAGU